RNAcentral lists this unclassified non-coding RNA (349 nucleotides) under Zygia latifolia var. communis. Its description in RNAcentral is "partial external transcribed spacer". The record is from RNAcentral. Lineage: Eukaryota; Viridiplantae; Streptophyta; Magnoliopsida; Fabales; Fabaceae.
UGAUUGCUGCGAGGUGACCUGGUGCCUUUGAAGCUGGGUCUUGAUGCUGCUACCCCUUUCUGGGUGUCACGGCCACUUGCAGUUAGCCUCCAUCCGGCGCCUUCCAAUGGGCGCGGGAGGACAAAGAAGCNCCCCCCGUGUUCCACCGAGCCUUUCAUCGGACGCGUGGCCCACGGGGGAGUGCAAAGCUCUUGGACCCAGCGUAUGCCGUGGACGGGGACUCACGUCCCAGUCCCGAGAGGAGCUUAAGAUAUAACGGGUGACGGCCGCUCUCGCCCCAGGACCGCAUCGGCGGCGGGGGUCGGGGCGCGGCGUCGUGGAGGAAUGCUACCUGGUUGAUCCUGCCAGU